RNAcentral lists this ribosomal RNA (254 nucleotides) under uncultured bacterium. Its description in RNAcentral is "partial 16S ribosomal RNA". It matches the Rfam family "Bacterial small subunit ribosomal RNA", at positions 524 to 776 of the family's 1533-position model. The record is from RNAcentral.
UACGGAGGGGGCUAGCGUUGUUCGGAAUUACUGGGCGUAAAGCGCACGUAGGCGGCUUUGUAAGUUAGAGGUGAAAGCCCGGGGCUCAACUCCGGAAUUGCCUUUAAGACUGCGAUCGCUAGAAUUGUGGAGAGGUAAGUGGAAUUCCCAGUGUAGAGGUGAAAUUCGUAGAUAUUGGGAAGAACACCGGUGGCGAAGGCGGCACCCUGGGCCAGUACUGACGCUGAGACGCGAAAGCGUGGGGAGCGAACGGA